This 440-nucleotide ribosomal RNA is filed under the name uncultured bacterium. Its description in RNAcentral is "partial 16S ribosomal RNA". It matches the Rfam family "Bacterial small subunit ribosomal RNA", at positions 338 to 795 of the family's 1533-position model. The record is from RNAcentral.
CCUACGGGUGGCAGCAGUGGGGAAUAUUGCACAAUGGGGGAAACCCUGAUGCAGCGAAGCCGCGUGAGUGAAGAAGUCUUUCGGUAUGUAAAGCUCUAUCAGCAGGGAAGAAAAUGACGGUACCUGAUUAAGAAGCCCCGGCUAACUACGUGCCCGCAGCCGCGGGAAUACGUAGGGGGCAAGCGUUAUCCGGAUGUACUGGGUGUAAAGGGAGCGUUGACGGCAGCACAAGUCUGGAGUGAAAUGCCGGGGCUUAACCCCGGAACUGCUUUGGAAACUGUGCAGCUAGAGUGCAGGAGAGGUAAGUGGAAUUCCUAGUGUAGCGGUGAAAUGCGUAGAUAUUAGGAGGAACACCAGUGGCGAAGGCGGCUUACUGGACUGUAACUGACGUUGAGGCUCGAAAGCGUGGGGAGCAAACAGGAUUAGAUACCCGGGUAGUC